AAUAUCAACCCCUCCUGGUUUCUGAUCAGUGUUGGGCUUGGACUUGGGUGUCUGCCAGCUCGCUGGCUCGCCUUAAAAGAGUUAGUGGUAAUAACAUCCACGGCUAAGACGUAAUAAGUUUCGUCUGGUCAAGGUGUGACGACUGCUCAUAACCCGACCGCAAGGUCAUUAUUUUAUG
Molecule: unclassified non-coding RNA, 178 nt
Filed under: uncultured Bulleromyces
Lineage: Eukaryota; Fungi; Basidiomycota; Tremellomycetes; Tremellales; Tremellaceae
Description: sequence contains ITS2
Source: RNAcentral